This is a long non-coding RNA of Ananas comosus (pineapple), 349 nucleotides long. RefSeq lists it as uncharacterized. The transcript has 2 exons. NCBI's taxonomy places the organism in Eukaryota, Viridiplantae, Streptophyta, Magnoliopsida, Poales, Bromeliaceae. The record is from RefSeq and is a predicted model, not a curated record.
CGGACGUUUAGGCUUCGUUUCCGCCUGGAGGGCCGAGGCGACGUCGUAAAAUCCUGGAAACGGAUUUGAAGCACCGUAACAGCAAAACGAAGACCCUUUUUACCCGGGGCUGCGAAGCGAUGCGCGGUUGGUGAGUAAUUUCGAGUUCGGGCCGAACCGGGCACCGGGUGCCGCGGGAGGCCGAUUGCAAGUGUCGACAAGCAAUCGGAACGCGAAUCAAGGUUCGCACGUGAGCGGCGCGGCGGCGCGAGGCAAGGGCGUAGCUUCGUAGAUAGCGCCCUACCCAGAGACCAGAGUUAGCAGUACCCCGUCGACAAAGCUUAGGGGUAUGGGGUGUUAUUAAUGAAAA